Peromyscus eremicus (cactus mouse) is the source of this 521-nucleotide long non-coding RNA. RefSeq lists it as uncharacterized. Lineage: Eukaryota; Metazoa; Chordata; Mammalia; Rodentia; Cricetidae. The transcript is spliced from 2 exons. The record is from RefSeq and is a predicted model, not a curated record.
GCACACCUUCAAUCCCAGCACUCGGGAGGCAGAGCCAGGUGGAUCUCUGUGAGUUCAAGGCCAGCCUGGUCUACAGAGCGAGAUCUAGAACAGCUGCUGUUCAGAAAGCACCAGCUCAAAAGAGACAAAAGCCUUUUCUCAGGUUCCUACAAAAUGAGUGAAUGUGCUUUGAUUAAAGACGAGAUCCAGAACUUCUGACAGCACCGAAAACCGGCGACCCUCGGGGGAAAUGCUUCUGAAAGUCACUUACCAACUUUGAGGAAGGUUUUCAGCUCCAAAGGUCUCAGCACUGGCUGCUUCUCUAUUCGGCCGUAGGUUUCUGCUAUGCUCUCUACUUCCACUUUAGGGCAUUUAAACAGCUCGUAAGUCCCAUCCCGGUUCUGGAUAAAGCUCCGUGUGAUUUCCAGGGGCAUCUGGACACAGAGACAGAUAACAGAGACAUAGAAAACUUGACAUACGUGCAUCUUGGGUGCCAUUAGGUCUCUCAAGAUUCUUUUUAUCUUUUAAAAAUAUCAAUCUUA